AAGGACAAGGUUAUACAUAGUCAGGAAGUGUGUGCUCAUGUUGUUGAGUUGGGACACGUACGGAGAGCAAUAGAGAGAUGUUUGUAAGCCCAUAGGCAAAUGCAUUACCGUUGUUCAUAAGGUUUGUACUCACUAGACUGUGACAGACAUAGUAAGCCAAAAGAGUGGCUUAGAAGAAGAUGCAGGAUCAGACUUAGGGUUUCGCCUUUUUUAC
Molecule: long non-coding RNA, 214 nt
Filed under: Eucalyptus grandis
Lineage: Eukaryota; Viridiplantae; Streptophyta; Magnoliopsida; Myrtales; Myrtaceae
Description: long non-coding RNA (EGRA_LNC000158)
Source: RNAcentral